UGUCAGAAAACUACCCAACCCAGAUGGGGU
RNAcentral lists this non-coding RNA (30 nucleotides) under Mus musculus (house mouse). The record is from RNAcentral. Lineage: Eukaryota; Metazoa; Chordata; Mammalia; Rodentia; Muridae.